Carassius carassius (crucian carp) is the source of this 848-nucleotide long non-coding RNA. RefSeq lists it as uncharacterized. The transcript has 3 exons. The record is from RefSeq and is a predicted model, not a curated record. NCBI's taxonomy places the organism in Eukaryota, Metazoa, Chordata, Actinopteri, Cypriniformes, Cyprinidae.
GUGGUUUUGUUGCAACACUUUGCACGGUUGUUGUGUAGAAACGGACAGUGCGACGUAUGAGGUUAAAGGAAUAACCCCGCUUUGAGUUUGAAGGACACAAAAGGAGGUUUCAUGUCAGAUCAGGGUUGCUGUGUUGUUUCCAAAACCUGGAUGUAAAUGAGAAGACAAGGGAGUACCUUACAACUAAAUGACUGAUAAAGGAACCGUUAAUAUGCAUUUUCACAGACUUUUUUUCCUGGAUACAAAGUUAUAUUCAUCAGCAUGGAGGAGUCUUAAUAGCAGGCAGCAGGCCCACGCUGGGCUGGGCCACGGCAGUAAUGGGAAUCAUUGGGAAUAGGUCCAGGGCAGGAGAACGGAGGCUUAUCAUUGACCCACCAUCUCCCCUCCCGCGCCACUCCCACUUCAAAGCCACAUAAUGAGAAUCACCUGUGCCAUCUAGCCAGGGAAAUCUUUAGUAAGGAGUGCAGAUUGAGAUAAAGGAGAGGAAAUGCAGAGAACCAGGAGCUUUAAAUGAGCUCAGCAGUGAUCAAGAAGCUCGGGAGAUGCACUGUGAAAACAGGAAGACCAGGAACGUGUUGGCUCGGCAGUGGCUCAGUGGAGGUCUGGCAGAGACCUUGCACAAAGACCUUCGCUUACAUUAUAUUAGCCUGGUUCAGACCCCGAUUGGGCCCCUCUCGUAGACCCCCUGCUCAGCCCCCAGUGAGGGGUGUUUGCUAUUAGCCACUGACCUCCAUCCAUUCAGUCUUCCUGAGUCUCUGCUCCUGCCUUUAGAACUGCCACACUAAUCAAAAGCAACUCAGCUUCUCAAUCCUGACAUUUUCUUUGCUUCAGACAGGUAAUAUGAAGUA